Molecule: ribosomal RNA, 253 nt
Filed under: uncultured Terrimonas sp.
Lineage: Bacteria; Pseudomonadati; Bacteroidota; Chitinophagia; Chitinophagales; Chitinophagaceae
Description: partial 16S ribosomal RNA
Rfam family: Bacterial small subunit ribosomal RNA
Source: RNAcentral
UACGGAGGGUGCAAGCGUUAUCCGGAUUCACUGGGUUUAAAGGGAGCGUAGGUGGGCUGGUAAGUCAGUGGUGAAAUCCCCGAGCUUAACUUGGGAACUGCCAUUGAUACUAUUAGUCUUGAAUAUUGUGGAGGUCAGCGGAAUAUGUCAUGUAGCGGUGAAAUGCUUAGAGAUGACAUAGAACACCAAUUGCGAAGGCAGCUGGCUACGCAUAUAUUGACACUGAGGCUCGAAAGCGUGGGGAUCAAACAGG